UCCCUCGUAGCUAAGUUGGUAAGGAAUCUGCCUGCAAUGCAGGAGACCCAGGUUCGAUCCCUGGGUCGGGAA
This is a non-coding RNA of Bos taurus (domestic cattle), 72 nucleotides long. Lineage: Eukaryota; Metazoa; Chordata; Mammalia; Artiodactyla; Bovidae. The record is from Rfam.